AACGAACGCUGGCGGCAUGCCUAACACAUGCAAGUCGAACGAGACCUUCGGGUCUAGUGGCGCACGGGUGCGUAACGCGUGGGAACCUGCCCUUAGGCUCGGAAUAACUCCCCGAAAGGGGUGCUAAUACCGGAUAAUGUCUUCGGACCAAAGAUUUAUCGUCUUUGGAUGGGCCCGCGUUGUAUUAGCUAGUUGGUAGGGUAAAAGCCUACCAAGGCGACGAUCCAUAGCUGGUCUGAGAGGAUGAUCAGCCACACUGGGACUGAGACACGGCCCAGACUCCUACGGGAGGCAGCAGUGGGGAAUAUAGGACAAUGGGCGAAAGCCUGAUCCAGCAAGGCCGCGUGAGUGAUGAAGGCCUGAGAGUUGUAAAGCUCUUUUACCCGGGAUGAUAAUGACAGUACCGGGAGAAUAAGCUCCGGCUAACUCCGUG
RNAcentral lists this ribosomal RNA (433 nucleotides) under uncultured bacterium. RNAcentral's name for it is "partial 16S ribosomal RNA". It matches the Rfam family "Bacterial small subunit ribosomal RNA", at positions 29 to 507 of the family's 1533-position model. The record is from RNAcentral.